GCAGUCGACGAUGAAUCUUCUAGCUUGCUAGAAGUGGAUUAGUGGCGCACGGGUGAGUAAUGCAUAGGUUAUGUGCCCUUUAGUCUGGGAUAGCCACUGGAAACGGUGAUUAAUACUGGAUACUCCCUACGGGGGAAAGUUUUUCGCUAAAGGAUCAGCCUAUGUCCUAUCAGCUUGUUGGUGAGGUAAUGGCUCACCAAGGCUAUGACGGGUAUCCGGCCUGAGAGGGUGAUCGGACACACUGGAACUGAGACACGGUCCAGACUCCUACGGGAGGCAGCAGUAGGGAAUAUUGCUCAAUGGGGGAAACCCUGAAGCAGCAACGCCGCGUGGAGGAUGAAGGUUUUAGGAUUGUAAACUCCUUUUGUUAGAGAAGAUUAUGACGGUAUCUAACGAAUAAGCACCGGCUAACUCCGUGCCAGCAGCCGCGGUAAUACGGAGGGUGCAAGCGUUACUCGGAAUCACUGGGCGUAAAGAGUGCGUAGGCGGGGUAAUAAGUCAGAUGUGAAAUCCUGUAGCUUAACUACAGAACUGCAUUUGAAACUGUUACUCUGGAGUGUGGGAGAGGUAGGUGGAAUUCUUGGUGUAGGGGUAAAAUCCGUAGAGAUCAAGAGGAAUACUCAUUGCGAAGGCGACCUGCUGGAACAUUACUGACGCUGAUGCACGAAAGCGUGGGGAGCAAACAGGAUUAGAUACCCUGGUAGUCCACGCCCUAAACGAUGGAUGCUAGUUGUUGCCUUGCUUGUCAGGGCAGUAAUGCAGCUAACGCAUUAAGCAUCCCGCCUGGGGAGUACGGUCGCAAGAUUAAAACUCAAAGGAAUAGACGGGGACCCGCACAAGCGGUGGAGCAUGUGGUUUAAUUCGAAGAUACGCGAAGAACCUUACCUAGGCUUGACAUUGAUA
Molecule: ribosomal RNA, 903 nt
Filed under: uncultured bacterium
Lineage: Bacteria
Description: bacterial SSU rRNA
Rfam family: Bacterial small subunit ribosomal RNA
Source: RNAcentral